UGGGGGAUAUUGCACAAUGGGCGAAAGCCUGAUGCAGCGACGCCGCGUGGGGGAUGAAGGCCUUCGGGUUGUAAACUUCUUUUGCUCUGAACAAGGCGCACCAUGGGGUGUGUUGAGUGUAGGGGUUGAUUAGCGCCGGCUAACUACGUGCCAGCAGCCGCGGUAAUACGUAGGUCGCGAGCGUUGUCCGGAAUUAUUGGGCGUAAAGGGCUUGUAGGUGGCUGGUUGCGUCUGUCGUGAAAGCUCAUGGCUUAACUGUGGGUUUGCGGUGGGUACGGGCUGGCUAGAGUGCAGUAGGAGAGGCUGGAAUUCCUGGUGUAGCGGUGGAAUGCGCAGAUAUCAGGAGGAAUACCGGUGGCGAAGGCGGGACUCUGGGCUGUUACUGACACUGAGGAGCGAAAGCAUGGGGAGCGAACAGG
RNAcentral lists this ribosomal RNA (419 nucleotides) under bacterium. Its description in RNAcentral is "partial 16S ribosomal RNA". It matches the Rfam family "Bacterial small subunit ribosomal RNA", at positions 355 to 776 of the family's 1533-position model. The record is from RNAcentral.